RNAcentral lists this ribosomal RNA (650 nucleotides) under uncultured bacterium. Its description in RNAcentral is "bacterial SSU rRNA". It matches the Rfam family "Bacterial small subunit ribosomal RNA", at positions 54 to 684 of the family's 1533-position model. The record is from RNAcentral.
CAUGCAGUCGAACGCGAGAGUGGAGCAAUCCAUUAGUAGAGUGGCAAACGGGUGAGUAACACGUGGGCGACCUACCUCAGAGUGGGGGAUAACCUUCCGAAAGGAGGGCUAAUACCGCAUGACAUCCCGUGUUUGGAUACACGGAGAUCAAAGCCGGGGAUCGCAAGACCUGGCGCUUGGAGAGGGGCCCGCGUCCGAUUAGCUAGUUGGUGAGGUAACGGCUCACCAAGGCUCCGAUCGGUAUCCGGCCUGAGAGGGCGGACGGACACACUGGAACUGAGACACGGUCCAGACUCCUACGGGAGGCAGCAGUGGGGAAUUGUUCGCAAUGGGCGAAAGCCUGACGACGCAACGCCGCGUGGAGGAUGAAGAAUUUCGGUUCGUAAACUCCUUUCGACCGAGAUGAACACCCCGCAAUUUAAUACGUUGUGGGACUGACAGUAUCGAGAGAAGAAGCCCCGGCUAACUCUGUGCCAGCAGCCGCGGUAAUACAGGGGGGGCAAGCGUUGUUCGGAAUUACUGGGCGUAAAGGGUUCGUAGGUGGGCCACUAAGUCAGAUGUGAAAUCCCUCAGCUUAACUGGGGAACUGCUUCUGAUACUGGUUGGCUUGAGUGCAUGAGAGGAAUGCGGAAUUCCAGGUGUAGCGGUGA